This 734-nucleotide unclassified non-coding RNA is filed under the name Hevea brasiliensis (rubber tree). The record is from RNAcentral. Lineage: Eukaryota; Viridiplantae; Streptophyta; Magnoliopsida; Malpighiales; Euphorbiaceae.
GUAUUAUUGGUAUAAGAAGAUGAAGGAGAGAGAUGGAUCGGAAAUGGGUGGGUUUACUCGGGUUUUGCAUUCGGGUAAACCUGAUAAUUUGAUGGAGGAGAUUCCUACUUUUGUUGUUGAUCCUCUUCCUGAAGGAUUGGAUCGGGGUUAUAUUGUUCUUAACAGACCAUGGGCUUUUGUUCAGUGGCUUGAAAAGGCAACAAUUGAAGAAGAAUACAUUCUAAUGGCAGAGCCUGACCAUGUAUUUGCAAAUCCCUUGCCAAACUUGGCUCGUGGAGAUCUCCCAGCCGCAUUUCCAUUUUUCUACAUAAAACCAGCAGAACACGAGGGAGUUAUACGAAAAUACUAUCCGGAGGAGCUAGGCCCAGUGACUAAUGUUGAUCCAAUUGGAAAUUCUCCUGUUAUAAUUAAAAAGUCCAUUUUAGAAAAAAUUGCUCCGACAUGGAUGAAUGUUUCUUUGAGGAUGAAAGAUGAUCCAGAAACCGACAAGGCUUUUGGCUGGGUUCUGGAAAUGUAUGGCUAUGCGGUGGCAUCUGCUUUACAUGGUGUACGCCACAUUCUUCGAAAAGACUUCAUGCUACAGCCACCUUGGGAUCUGGAAGUUGGAAAGAAGUUUAUUAUUCAUUAUACCUAUGGAUGUGAUUAUAAUAUGAAGGGAGAGUUGACAUAUGGAAAGAUUGGUGAAUGGAGAUUUGACAAAAGAUCUUAUCUACGAGGCCCUCCGCCAAAAAAAU